GAAAUGCGAUAAUUAAUGUGAAUUGCAGAAUUCAGUGAAUCAUCGAGUCUUUGAACGCACAUUGCGCCCCCUGGUAUUCCGGGGGGCAUGCCUGUCCGAGCGUCAUUGCUGCCCUCAAGCACGGCUUGUGUGUUGGGCUUCCGUCCCUGGCAACGGGGACGGGCCCAAAAGGCAGUGGCGGCACCAUGUCUGGUCCUCGAGCGUAUGGGGCUUUGUCACCCGCUCCCGUAGGUCCAGCUGGCAGCUAGCCUCGCAACCAAUCUUUUUAACCAGGUUGACCUCGGAUCAGGUAGGGAUACCCGCUGAACUUCAGC
RNAcentral lists this unclassified non-coding RNA (314 nucleotides) under plant metagenome. Its description in RNAcentral is "partial contains 5.8S ribosomal RNA, internal transcribed spacer 2, and large subunit ribosomal RNA". The stretch from base 1 to 105 matches the Rfam family "5.8S ribosomal RNA", at positions 50 to 154 of the family's 154-position model. The record is from RNAcentral.